This 444-nucleotide ribosomal RNA is filed under the name uncultured bacterium. RNAcentral describes it as "bacterial SSU rRNA". It matches the Rfam family "Bacterial small subunit ribosomal RNA", at positions 29 to 506 of the family's 1533-position model. The record is from RNAcentral.
ACGAACGCUGGCGGCGUGCCUAACACAUGCAAGUCGAACGAGGGCCCGGUUUCGGCCGGGUUCCUAGUGGCGGACGGGUGAGUAACGCGUGGGAACCUGCCCAACAGUGGGGAAUAACAGCGGGAAACCGCUGCUAAUACCGCAUACGUCCUUCGGGAGAAAGGCUUCGGCCGCUGUUGGAGGGGCCCGCGUCGGAUUAGCUAGUUGGUGGGGUAAUGGCCUACCAAGGCGACGAUCCGUAGCUGGUCUGAGAGGACGACCAGCCACACUGGGACUGAGACACGGCCCAGACUCCUACGGGAGGCAGCAGUGGGGAAUAUUGGACAAUGGGGGAAACCCUGAUCCAGCGACGCCGCGUGAGUGAAGAAGGCCUUAGGGUUGUAAAGCUCUUUCGCCGGGGAAGAUGAUGACGGUACCCGGAGAAGAAGCCCCGGCUAACUCCGU